AGUGAACGCUGGCGGUAGGCCUAACACAUGCAAGUCGAACGGCAGCACAGUAAGAUCUUGCUCUUACGGGUGGCGAGUGGCGGACGGGUGAGGAAUACAUCGGAAUCUACUUUUUCGUGGGGGAUUACGUAGGGAAACUUCCACUAAUACCUCAUACUGCCUACGGCUUAACGCAUGUUUUCUUCGGACCUUGCCCGCUUUACUGAGCCGAUGUCGGAUUAGCUAGUUGGCGGGGUAAAGGCCAACCAAGGCAACAAUCAGUAGCUGGUCUGCGAGGAUGACAGGCAAAACGGGAACGGAGAAACGGCCAAGACUCCUAAGGGAGGAAGCAGUGGGGAAUAUUGGAAAAGGGGGGAAAGCCGGAUCAGGAAAGACCGCGGGGGUGAAGAAGGCUUUCGGGUUGUAAAGCCUUUUUGUUGGGAAAGAAAAGCAGCAGGGUAAUAACCUGAUGUUCUGACGGUACCCAAAGAAUAAGCAACGGCUAACUUCGUG
RNAcentral lists this ribosomal RNA (492 nucleotides) under uncultured bacterium. RNAcentral's name for it is "partial 16S ribosomal RNA". It matches the Rfam family "Bacterial small subunit ribosomal RNA", at positions 29 to 507 of the family's 1533-position model. The record is from RNAcentral.